RNAcentral lists this ribosomal RNA (544 nucleotides) under uncultured bacterium. RNAcentral's name for it is "bacterial SSU rRNA". It matches the Rfam family "Bacterial small subunit ribosomal RNA", at positions 772 to 1314 of the family's 1533-position model. The record is from RNAcentral.
ACUCAAUAGAUACCCGGGUAGUCCACGCCCUAAACGAUGUCGACUGGUUGUUGGGGGUUUGACACUCUCAGUAAACGAAAGCUAAACGCGUGAAGUCGACCGCCUGGGGAGUACGGCCACAAGGUUAAAACUCAAAGGAAUUGACGGGGACCCGCACAAGCGGUGGAUUAUGUGGAUUAAUUCGAUGCAACGCGAAAAACCGUACCUACCCUUGACAUGUCCGGAAGGCUGCUGAAAGGCGGCUGUGCCCGAAAGGGAACUGGAACACAGGUGCUGCAUGGCUGUCGUCAGCUCGUGUCGUGAGAUGUUGGGUUAAGUCCCGCAACGAGCGCAACCCUUGUCAUUAGUUGCUACCCGCAAGGGAGCACUCUAAUGAGACUGCCGGUGACAAACCGGAGGAAGGUGGGGAUGACGUCAAGUCCUCAUGGCCCUUAUGGGUAGGGCUUCACACGUAAUACAAUGGCGCGUACAGAGGGUUGCCAAGGAGCGAUCUGGAGCCAAUCCCGUAAAGCGCGUCGUAGUCCGGAUUGCAGUCUGCAACUCG